UGCUUGUAGCUCUCAGAAUAAUUGUAGAAUAUGCUGCGAAUGAAGCAUCCUGAGACAAAAAGGAACUGUCCACAGCAGGCUGUACUCUGUUCUGCUUCCUUCUGGAACAGGAUGUCCUGCCAAACUUCAGUCCAGCAAUGCCAAUUAUCCCCAGGGCAUAUAACUCAGAGGGGAGUGCUUUCUGGGGUCCUUCAGCAGCAGUGCAAUGAGGAGCAUGCACAGGAGAGAUUCUAUUUUCCUUGGAUGGCUUUCUUGAGCCUUGGAAAUCUGGCUCACCAGGAAUUCUAGGCUUCUGUUGUCCCUUGCUUCCUAUCUAAUCCUAAGUUGAUGUCAUGGGGCAGU
RNAcentral lists this long non-coding RNA (342 nucleotides) under Homo sapiens (human). RNAcentral's name for it is "HSALNT0011886". The record is from RNAcentral. Lineage: Eukaryota; Metazoa; Chordata; Mammalia; Primates; Hominidae.